AUGGCACAGCCGUACAGAGGACCCAAAGUCCCAUGCGUGCCGUGCACAGAUCAUCGUGGCCCUCGUAGCAUCACACAUUUCCACCACCCCGGGCACGCCGCGUCCCGCAUCACCUCGACACACACACAUGCACGUUACUUCCCCGCGGUCGCACCGCCGUCUACGGCACGCCGCGGCGCGCGCGCUGGCACCUGGGAGUCAGUCAGAGAGCGAUUCGAGGGACUGACGUGCUUCGAGGGAGGGACGGUCGCCUCGCCUGCUGGCGAUAAAGAAAGCGCCGCCCGGCGCGCGUACGGUGUCCCCUCGCCCCAGGACCGCGCGCCCGGGCCACGCGAACGCACAACGGACAUAGCAGCGCGCGCGCUGUCAUGGGGCGGCACGGCACCUCGCGCUCUCUUGCUCUGGCUCUCUGUACACGUGCGUGCGUGCGUGCGUGCAUGCAUGCUCCCGUCGCCGUCGUCGGACCACCGCGCGACCCCGCCGGCCCAACCACCCACUGGCGCACCGGUUCGCGUGCGGCCACGCCGGCCCCAAUCGACCAAACGCCCGCUGGUCCGCUCCGCGCGCGGGCGCACCUACGCAUCCUUUCUUUCAGCUUUCACGGGUCGUCGUCGGCGAACGACCGGCCAACAGUGUGCGCUGCGCACGCCUGCCAUGCAUGCUCGGCCGCCCUGA
RNAcentral lists this ribosomal RNA (675 nucleotides) under Triticum aestivum (bread wheat). RNAcentral describes it as "partial small subunit ribosomal RNA". The record is from RNAcentral. Lineage: Eukaryota; Viridiplantae; Streptophyta; Magnoliopsida; Poales; Poaceae.